CCCCCCCCCUUUUUGGUGAGCUCCGCGGCCUCAGAGAUAGCACUCUCGGCUGAUACGCCCAUCACACACGCAAUCUUCGCAGCCGACACGCACAGGAAGACCCUUGCGUAUCCUACACGGGGUGGGGCGAAGUUGGCCGGGACCGGGGUUGGAGGGAAAUAACCAAUCCGGGAAAUCCUUACCUUUUUUUCGGUGGGGGGAAUAAACCGUUAAGGGAAACCUUACGCUAAUACCGCAUACGACUACGGGUGAAAGCAGGGGACCUUCGGGCCUUGCGCGAUUGAAUGAGCCGAUGUCGGAUUAGCUAGUUGGCGGGGUAAAGGCCCACCAAGGCGACGAUCCGUAGCUGGUCUGAGAGGAUGAUCAGCCACACUGGAACUGGAGACACGGUCCAGACUCCUACGGGAGGCAGCAGUGGGGAAUAUUGGACAAUGGGCGCAAGCCUGAUCCAGCCAUACCGCGUGGGUGAAGAAGGCCUUCGGGUUGUAAAGCCCUUUUGUUGGGAAAGAAAUCCAGCCGGCUAAUACCUGGUUGGGAUGACAGGUACCCAAAGAAUAAGCACCGGCUAACCUUCGUGCCAGCAGCCGCGGUAAUACGAAGGGUGCAAGCGUUACUCGGAAUUACUGGGCGUAAAGCGUGCGUAGGUGGUUGUUUAAGUCUGUUGUGAAAGCCCUGGGCUCAACCUGGGAACUGCAGUGGAAACUGGACGACUAGAGUGUGGUAGAGGGUAGCGGAAUUCCUGGUGUAGCAGUGAAAUGCGUAGAGAUCAGGAGGAACAUCCAUGGCGAAGGCAGCUACCUGGACCAACACUGACACUGAGGCACGAAAGCGUGGGGAGCAAACAGGAUUAGAUACCCUGGUAGUCCACGCCCUAAACGAUGCGAACUGGAUGUUGGGUGCAAUUUGGCACGCAGUAUCGAAGCUAACGCGUUAAGUUCGCCGCCUGGGGAGUACGGUCGCAAGACUGAAACUCAAAGGAAUUGACGGGGGCCCGCACAAGCGGUGGAGUAUGUGGUUUAAUUCGAUGCAACGCGAAGAACCUUACCUGGCCUUGACAUGUCGAGAACUUUCCAGAGAUGGAUUGGUGCCUUCGGGAACUCGAACACAGGUGCUGCAUGGCUGUCGUCAGCUCGUGUCGUGAGAUGUUGGGUUAAGUCCCGCAACGAGCGCAACCCUUGUCCCUUAGGUUGCCAGCACGUAAUGGUGGGAACUCUAAGGAGACCGCCGGGUGACAACCCGGAGGAAAGGUGGGGGAUUGGAACCGUUCAAGUUUCAUUCCAUUGGGCCUUUACCGGGCCAGGGGCUACACACGUUCUACAUGGUGGACCUUAGGCUGCAAUGCCGGUUAAGGAAGCAAUCCAGGAAGGGCUUGGCCAAGCC
Molecule: ribosomal RNA, 1380 nt
Filed under: Stenotrophomonas sp. ICB129
Lineage: Bacteria; Pseudomonadati; Pseudomonadota; Gammaproteobacteria; Lysobacterales; Lysobacteraceae
Description: bacterial SSU rRNA
Rfam family: Bacterial small subunit ribosomal RNA
Source: RNAcentral